AGUGAACGCUGGCGGUAGGCCUAACACGUGCAAGUCGAACGGCAGCACAGUAAGAGCUUGCUCUUACGGGUGGCGAGUGGCGGACGGGUGAGGAAUACAUCGGAAUCUACUUUUUCGUGGGGGAUAACGUAGGGAAACUUACGCUAAUACCGCAUACGACCUACGGGUGAAAGCAGGGGAUCUUCGGACCUUGCGCGAUUGAAUGAGCCGAUGUCGGAUUAGCUAGUUGGCGGGGUAAAGGCCCACCAAGGCGACGAUCCGUAGCUGGUCUGAGAGGAUGAUCAGCCACACUGGAACUGAGACACGGUCCAGACUCCUACGGGAGGCAGCAGUGGGGAAUAUUGGACAAAGGGCGCAAGCCUGAUCCAGCCACACCGCGUGGGUGAAGAAGGCCUUCGGGUUGUAAAGCCCUUUUGUUGGGAAAGAAAAGCAGCAGGUUAAUACCCCGCUGUUCUGACGGUACCCAAAGAAUAAGCACCGGCUAACUUCGUG
RNAcentral lists this ribosomal RNA (492 nucleotides) under uncultured bacterium. RNAcentral describes it as "partial 16S ribosomal RNA". It matches the Rfam family "Bacterial small subunit ribosomal RNA", at positions 29 to 507 of the family's 1533-position model. The record is from RNAcentral.